Molecule: unclassified non-coding RNA, 1588 nt
Filed under: Pomacea canaliculata
Lineage: Eukaryota; Metazoa; Mollusca; Gastropoda; Architaenioglossa; Ampullariidae
Description: histone deacetylase 11-like, transcript variant X7
Source: RNAcentral
AAACGAGAACGAGGCAGGUACACAAGGAAGGACGUUGGCCAUUGUUGUCCAGAGUCAGGCUCGGCGCGACGGCGCGCUGAGCAACCACACAAACGGGUUGAACAUUGCUCCUGUCUAACGCUACUACCUGGAAGCAUGCGUUUCUUCUGCGAUGGCCACUCUCAAAGAACAUGACCAUUGUUAUGCAAUGGCUGGGAACCUGGAAACAAACACUGUCAAAUACCGAGAGGGACGUUCACCACAGACCGCCAGCAGGCGAUCAAGGGAGCUCACCCAGUCACAGUGUGCAAGGCUGCACACCACAGGGGUUCUGGUGAGAGCAGUACAUACAACAAGAUUGUACAUUGAUGUCAGAGACGACCAGUGGCCUAUUGUGUACUGCAGUGACUACAACAUUAGUUUCUUGGGCUUAGAAAAGCUACAUCCAUUUGAUGCUGGAAAAUGGGGACGUGUCAUUGAGUUUCUUAAAAAGGCAGGAAUGGUACGGGAUGACACAUUGGUGGUGCCUGUUGAGGCCAGUGAGGAAGAUCUAAGGGUGGUGCACUCAUCAGGCUAUCUCUCUAGUUUAAAGCUCACAAGUAUUGUUGAAGGAAUAACAGAGUGGAGUAUCACUGUUGCGGGAAUCACUGAGGUUCCUCCAGUGGCGCUGCUUCCCAAUUUUAUUGUACAGAGAAAAGUUCUUAGGCCUUUGCGUUUUCAAACAGGGGGUACCAUUCUGGCAGCCAAGCUAGCUGUGGAGCGUGGGUGGGCACUGAAUGUUGGUGGUGGAUUCCACCAUUGCUCUGCAGACAAAGGGGGUGGAUUCUGUGCAUAUGCCGACAUUACCUUGGCAUUGCGCUUCCUUUUUGACCGGGUUGAAGGCAUUGCAAAGGCCAUGAUUGUUGAUCUAGAUGCUCAUCAGGGAAAUGGCCACGAACGAGACUUUAUGAAUGAUGAGCGUGUUUACAUCAUGGAUGUCUUUAACAGAGGGAUUUAUCCACAUGAUGGUUUUGCAAAGAGAGCGAUUAGGAAAAAGGUGGAGUUGGAACACUUCACUGAUGACAGAGAAUAUCUGCAUAAAGUGCACAAGCACCUGGAAGAAGCGCUCGUUGAGUUUACACCUGAUAUCCUUUUAUAUAAUGCUGGCACAGACAUAUUGGAUGGCGAUCCACUGGGCUGUCUUUCCAUUUCACCGCAGGGCAUCAUAGAAAGAGACCAGAUUGUCUUUGAGAAAGCUCGUGCCAGAGGAAUCCCUAUUUUAAUGGUGACGAGUGGAGGCUAUCAACGUGCAACAGCUCGGAUUAUUGCUGACUCCAUUCUUAACCUUCAAGAACUCAAGCUUAUCAGUUGUGAUGAAGCUGAGCAGUCCCACUCUUCAUCAUCAGAUUUCAGAUUCCCACAAGCAAUGGCGUAGACUUUGCAUUUGCAAUCUGUAAUGGCCUGGCUUUGAAGAAAAUACCUUAGAUCACCUGGUUGUUGGAGAGUAACAAGCUUGGGGCCCUUCCGCGCAGUCGCAGUGAGAGUUUGGUGUCACGACUACGCAGCUGUGUGUCACAUUCCUCGACGUCCCAAGACCUGAACAAAGAGGACGAGAGAUAUUCUGUUGACA